GGCGGCGUAGCAAAGAUACCGUUGUUUUUGAUCUCAAGCCAGUUAAGUCGCUUUCGACGGCUGAACGGGCAGACACGGCCAAAGUCGCUGAGUUUCUGCAACAGCAUUUCUUGAUUCUCCCGAACCUUCGGAAGUUCCACACCACGCUCAUGGAGCGAACAUACUACGACCUGCUCCGCUUGUUCUCAAAGGCCAUGGAUCAACAGAACGUCGUCCUUAUCGCCUUCGGGUUCUCCUUCGCCGACGAGCACCUU
This 254-nucleotide unclassified non-coding RNA is filed under the name Hevea brasiliensis (rubber tree). The record is from RNAcentral. Lineage: Eukaryota; Viridiplantae; Streptophyta; Magnoliopsida; Malpighiales; Euphorbiaceae.